This 593-nucleotide long non-coding RNA is filed under the name Dasypus novemcinctus (nine-banded armadillo). RNAcentral's name for it is "lncRNA (ENSDNOG00000049989.1)". The record is from RNAcentral. Lineage: Eukaryota; Metazoa; Chordata; Mammalia; Cingulata; Dasypodidae.
CGGGACUUGUAGUCCGACCGGCCUCGGCCCGCGGGGCCCCGGGCCCAGGAUCGCGGACACAGGCCGGACGGGGGACCCGGGUAGAACAAGCCUCAGAUACACGAACGCACAGAGACAUUCGGGAACACAGGACGGCGACCCUCAGACAAGACUGUGUGACCUUGGGCAGUCUCUCAACCUCUCUGGGCCUCAUUUCUUCAAUGGUAGGACGUUGAUGACUUUAGCAAAGCCUGCUUCUUAGAGUUGGUGCCAGGAUCCCAUUAGAAAAUACGUGCAAAGCCCUUGACAGUGCCUGGCACAAGGUAAGUACUCGGUAAAUGUCAAAGUCAAGAUACUUCUGCCCAGAGACUCACAUUUCGGAGGGACGCGUGGACAGGGGAGACCCUGAAAUGAUGCUUUGGAAGCUUCUAAAAUGCCAGAGAAAUAGGAUGGCGUAACCUAGCCCCAGACACCCCACGGCAUGACCUGCAGACAUGCCUGCAGAUGGGGUGUAUGGAGACCCCCGGAGGCACUGGAGACCUCACACGUGUAUGCAGCCUUUAUUACCUGCCUGUGGUGACAGGCACAGAAGCUGUCCUCCCUGACCCCGGGGA